GCCGGGUGUGGUGGUGCACGCCUGUAAUCUCAGCUACUCAGGAGGCUGAAGCAGGAGAAUUGCUCGAACCUGGGAGGUGGAGGUUGCAGUGAGCCGAGAUCAUGCCACUGCAAUCUAGCCUGGGUGACAGAGCGAGACUCUGUCUCAA
RNAcentral lists this non-coding RNA (148 nucleotides) under Homo sapiens (human). The record is from Rfam by way of RNAcentral. Lineage: Eukaryota; Metazoa; Chordata; Mammalia; Primates; Hominidae.